This 107-nucleotide small nuclear RNA is filed under the name Catagonus wagneri (Chacoan peccary). The record is from RNAcentral. Lineage: Eukaryota; Metazoa; Chordata; Mammalia; Artiodactyla; Tayassuidae.
AUACUCCCUUCGGCAGCACAUAAACUAAAACUAGAACGGUACAGAGAAUACUAUCACAGCCCCUGAGCAAGGAUGACACACAAAUUCGUGAGGCGUUCCUUAUUUUG